GGCUGGGCGCAGCUACCAUGCAGUCGAGCGGUAACAGGGGUAGCUUGCUACCCGCUGACGAGCGGCGGACGGGUGAGUAAUGCAUAGGAAUCUGCCCGAUAGUGGGGGAUAACCUGGGGAAACCCAGGCUAAUACCGCAUACGUCCUACGGGAGAAAGGGGGCUCCGGCUCCCGCUAUUGGAUGAGCCUAUGUCGGAUUAGCUAGUUGGUAAGGUAAUGGCUUACCAAGGCAACGAUCCGUAGCUGGUCUGAGAGGAUGAUCAGCCACAUCGGGACUGAGACACGGCCCGAACUCCUACGGGAGGCAGCAGUGGGGAAUAUUGGACAAUGGGGGCAACCCUGAUCCAGCCAUGCCGCGUGUGUGAAGAAGGCCCUCGGGUUGUAAAGCACUUUCAGCGAGGAAGAACGCCUAUCGGUUAAUACCCGGUAGGAAAGACAUCACUCGCAGAAGAAGCACCGGCUAACUCCGUGCCAGCAGCCGCGGUAAUACGGAGGGUGCAAGCGUUAAUCGGAAUUACUGGGCGUAAAGCGCGCGUAGGUGGCUUGAUAAGCCGGUUGUGAAAGCCCCGGGCUCAACCUGGGAACGGCAUCCGGAACUGUCAGGCUAGAGUGCAGGAGAGGAAGGUAGAAUUCCCGGUGUAGCGGUGAAAUGCGUAGAGAUCGGGAGGAAUACCAGUGGCGAAGGCGGCCUUCUGGACUGACACUGACACUGAGGUGCGAAAGCGUGGGUAGCAAACAGGAUUAGAUAUCCUUGGUAGUCA
Molecule: ribosomal RNA, 761 nt
Filed under: Halomonas sp.
Lineage: Bacteria; Pseudomonadati; Pseudomonadota; Gammaproteobacteria; Oceanospirillales; Halomonadaceae
Description: bacterial SSU rRNA
Rfam family: Bacterial small subunit ribosomal RNA
Source: RNAcentral